AUUUAGAAGCCUUUUUAGAACUGGAAGCCUGAAACAAGCAGCAGGCAGGUGGACGCCAAAACUGGAGGCCGUAUUCCAGGAUCAGUGUCACUGAUGGAGUUCAUACAGGAUCUCAUGCCAGGCAAAUGUCCUGCUUGGAUUGGACUUAACUUUACAACUCGUGCCAUGAAGUGGACCUGAGCAGAUGGCUUCCCAUUAAAUCAAACACUUUGCAUCUUUCCGCAUGUUAAAUACAUCUGAAGUGUUUUUAAACAUCAGCCAAGCUAAUUGUUUAUCAUUAUCUGCAUUUAUUAUUGCUGCACAAUAAAGCCUCUAACCAGCUCUAACACAGUGCAGCAACAACUUCUAUUGCCUGCCUGCAGUGCUGGCACAGUGACAGCGUAUUUAUGCAAGUUUUGAGUUGCGAAAGUUUGGCCUGUAUUUAUUUAUGUCUGAAUAACACCAAAAGUUAGAUUCUGACUGUGUGGAGACAUCAGCUAUUA
Molecule: long non-coding RNA, 482 nt
Organism: Mauremys reevesii (Reeves's turtle)
Lineage: Eukaryota; Metazoa; Chordata; Testudines; Geoemydidae
Exons: 3
Source: RefSeq, a predicted model, not a curated record